Long non-coding RNA from Ornithorhynchus anatinus (platypus), 1580 nucleotides. RefSeq lists it as uncharacterized. Lineage: Eukaryota; Metazoa; Chordata; Mammalia; Monotremata; Ornithorhynchidae. The transcript is spliced from 6 exons. The record is from RefSeq and is a predicted model, not a curated record.
UGUUGUGCUGAAUCCUUCAUGUGUUGGAGCUGAAAGUAUUUAGUCUCAAGCACCUGUUCAGAUCAAGAAAGCUUACUGAAGGGUGGCUGUCAAAGAGAAUUAAAUGGUGCCUAAAGAAACCCACCAACGUUAUAAUUAAAGAGAUGCCAACCUUGACAGUAGAAUGACCAUCUCAAGAGGACUCUCCUCCCAGGAAAUGAAUCCCCUUCCAGGAAACCCAAAACAUCCUCUUGAUGCCACAUUAUCCAAAUCCUGUGGAAUGAAAGAAAGUUCUCUCUGCUGGCUAUCUGAUCAAGGGGAGUUAACGAAAUAUAAAUUCUCAUCUCAAAUCACAGUGCCCAGCUCCAUUUUCAUCCCUCCCCCUUGGUGUCUUCCUGAAGUGUCUGCUCUAAGGGAGUCAUACAUGACCUCAACCUGGCUCCAACAUUCUUACUGGGACUUCCUGGUAAGAACAGACCUACCUGACCACCCUCAUCAAUGGAUCCUGAAACCCAGGCAGUGUACAGACCACACAAGUGUCAUGGUCCCUGUUCUUGGAGAGCCAGUAUUCUAAAGGAGCAAGAUUCCCCUCUCCCUCCAAAGCUGGGAAGCUCAGUUACUGUUUGACUCUUAGACUCAUACUUUUUACCGAAGACAAAGCUUUCUCCUCACUGGCCCAUUUCACCACUAGAUUAUCCACAUUUAGUGGAAUCUGGAAGGAUUAAAUUGAACAGCCAAGGAAUUGGGACUCUCGAUUCAGUUACCUUGGGCUGUCAAUCAUUUUCAGAGGAUGCGGUGAGAAGAUGGAGCCAACACUAUCAGCUUCAACUCUACCCAGUUUUCUCCAGUAAUCCCUUUGGCCAUGAUAGACCUGUUGACAAAGAAGUAAAGAGGACAGUGGAUAGGAUAGGUUGAGUUUUUUUCAACUACCCAACAAGAAAAUGUUUGUAAUGUACUUUGAUAUUCUUGCGUGAAGGCUAUUUAAAUAUAAAAUAUUAUUGGUGCUGCUGCUGCUAUUGUCUUGGGCUUUUCUAAGUGGAAUUGCCAGCUGAAAGAACAAGUGCUAGGGAUACUCCAAGAGCGUCUUUAUUUAUUCCAUGUUUGAGAAUUACACAAUCGUCCCUUCCUCUGGAGCUGACCCCCUCAGAAGGGGUUGGGGGUCUGAGUCUCUGGACCGCGACUGGGGAGUGGAUUAUCUGCUGGAGACACAUGCACAGAGCUGACUGAGGAGUGGACCACGGGGCCCUGCAUAUCCGGGAGGGGCUGUUUGGGUAGAGGGGGACAAAGAGGCCGCUCCAGCAGGGGCGGGGGGGACAGAGAUCUGUCUCCCUACUUGUCAGACUGGACUCCGGAGAAGUGACUGGAGUGGGGAAGCCCUUCUUUUCCCUCCCCUCAAAGUAAGAUAGUGCCUACAUUUUCUCGCCGGACCCCAAACACUCUGCUCGUGGCCCUGGGCAGGCGGAGGAGACGUGGAUACCGAGUUCACCCACCCCCUUGCAGUGAGCUGAGACUGCACCCCAGAGAGGAAUGAAAUGAGGAGCCUUGUGUUGGUUUUCUUUUUAUUUAAAAAAAGAUGAAAAAUAAAUCCAGAUUUGACUUUU